This 253-nucleotide ribosomal RNA is filed under the name uncultured bacterium. RNAcentral describes it as "partial 16S ribosomal RNA". It matches the Rfam family "Bacterial small subunit ribosomal RNA", at positions 524 to 776 of the family's 1533-position model. The record is from RNAcentral.
UAUGUAGGGUGCGAGCGUUGUCCGGAAUUAUUGGGCGUAAAGAGCUUGUAGGCGGUUUGUCGCGUCUGCUGUGAAAAUCCGGGGCUCAACCCCGGACUUGCAGUGGGUACGGGCAGACUAGAGUGUGGUAGGGGAGACUGGAAUUCCUGGUGUAGCGGUGAAAUGCGCAGAUAUCAGGAGGAACACCGGUGGCGAAGGCGGUUCUCUGGGCCUUACCUGACGCUGAGGAGCGAAAGCGUGGGGAGCAAACAGG